GAUGAAGAACGUAGCGAAAUGCGAUAAGUAAUGUGAAUUGCACAAUUCAGUGAAUCAUCGAAUCUUUGAACGCACAUUGCGCCCGCCAGUAUUCUGGCGGGCAUGCCUGUUCGAGCGUCAUUUCAACCAUCAAGCCCCGGGCUUGUGUUGGGGACCUGCGGCUGCCGCAGGCCCUGAAAACCAGUGGCGGGCUCGCUGUCACACCGGGCGUAGUAGAUUUUAUCUCGCUCUGGGCGUGCUGCGGGUUCCGGCCGUUAAAAAACCCUUUUAACCCAAGGUUGACCUCGGAUCAGGUAGGAAUACCCGCUGAACUUAAGCAUAUCAAUAAGCGGAGGA
This 336-nucleotide unclassified non-coding RNA is filed under the name soil metagenome. Its description in RNAcentral is "partial contains 5.8S ribosomal RNA, internal transcribed spacer 2, and large subunit ribosomal RNA". The stretch from base 1 to 120 matches the Rfam family "5.8S ribosomal RNA", at positions 35 to 154 of the family's 154-position model. The record is from RNAcentral.